Molecule: long non-coding RNA, 190 nt
Organism: Cucumis sativus (cucumber)
Lineage: Eukaryota; Viridiplantae; Streptophyta; Magnoliopsida; Cucurbitales; Cucurbitaceae
Exons: 3
Source: RefSeq, a predicted model, not a curated record
CCGACCCACACUUAGGAUUUUUGCUGCGAGUUCGACAGUCGUGCGUUGAGGUGUUGGGAGUAACGUUGGGCUCCCUUAAAUUCACAACCAAUAUAUGAAUUGUUGAGGGUUCAGUUCGCCAAUACUUCGGAUUGUUUCGAGGACGUUAGUUGAUUAAGGAGCUUCCCUAACUUUGAGGCAAAGGAAAUAA